Cyprinus carpio carpio is the source of this 4792-nucleotide long non-coding RNA. The record is from Ensembl. Lineage: Eukaryota; Metazoa; Chordata; Actinopteri; Cypriniformes; Cyprinidae.
AUGAGCUCAGCCUUCAGCGUCUCAAUACUCACAUACUCGCACACAGCAGAUAGACUCUUUUGGUUCUCAGACUAUAAACGACCAUGUGCUGCGGGUGACAGAGAGGUGAACUGCUCAUUUGGGCUGGAACACGUGCAGCCUCCCUCUUCUUCAGCUACUCACGCGCUGUUCCUCAAAGAUGCCCUGAAAGACACCCGUCUCCCACGCUCGGUUCAGCCACCACACCGCGAUUUUCCCUCGCUGUCGUCUCCACCGAGCGAGCGCGCGUGGAGGGAGGGCUUGCCAACCGGGUGUCAUGGAAACUGAGCCGUGUGUAUUACGUCAUUAGUCUGAGUUGCGAGUCUUCUCUUUUCUUUGCCGCUCGCAAAUAAGGAGCAUCACGCACAUGCCUCACAACAGCAGGUUCUACAGCUCAAAACUUAACCGGAGAACUUGAUUAUGUUUCUUAAAUUUCAUUCACAUGUAAAAGAUAUGACGUGUACAUUUGUUUUUGUCCCUCCCCUCCCCUCCUCUUUCCUCCUCUGACUGAAGUUGAGUAACGCUACAGGUGCUGUUGUGUCUGUCUAUCUUCUUUCUGCUGUUCUCUCUUUACUCUUCUGCUUUAAUUUAUUGUGCUGUUUUCCUAAGGCUUCUGUUGCCACUGUUGCUGACAACAUCAUUUCCUUUUUGGUAAUAUUUAUCCUUCUAAUUUUUGUUAAGUUUAGUCACAGCUAAUGUAACAAAACACACUGUGAUGAUUCCAGUAUUAAUAAAAGUUGUACUUAAACUGUGUGUGAGGAGAAGAUAUUCAUUAUAACCUAUUUAUUAUUCGAUAUGUAUUAUUUAUUAUGCUAGGUUUUAUGAGGGGAAGUCAUUAAGAUAAAAAAUUUAAAAUAUGCCAAAAAGUCGAAAUUAUAAGAUCUAAAGUCAUGACAUAAAAUUCUAUUUCUAUGACAUAUUUCUUAGCCAUUAUGCAUAAACUUAAAGGUUUAAACGUUAUAUAUAGCCUACUUCAUGCACACAAAAAUACAAAACAGAAAAGGGUGACGUUCAGCUGAAAGUGCAAGAGGUUUGAGACGGCAAGGAAAGAUCAAAUCUGAUAAACAAUCGCAUUUAGAGUGUGCGCAUUUUAUUUUAGAUUCUAGGGGGCGCCAAAGUAUUUGUGACUAAAUCUGUGACUGCAAUUCAACAUCCAGAUAGAGAAAAGUUUGUUCUAAUUAUUUCUUCAAGCUGUUUAGCAUCUAAAAGUGAAACACAAAUAAAUCUCGUCUUUCACACCGAAAAUAAGUAACUUGUUAAACCCUGUAAUUAAAAUCACAAGUCAGUCUCUAAGCACCAAUUUUGCACUCAUCAGCUUUAUAACAAUGUUCAACAUUGGAGAGAAAUACAGAUAUUAGCAAUUCCGCCUCCAGCUUUGUGUUAUUUGCUGAGAAAGCCCCUGGAGGUGUAUAAGACAGUCCCAGCUGCACAUUGGACUGCUCAGAGCGCAAAUGUGUAUCUUCAAUGAUAGUCAAGUCGCUUCAUCUAUAUAAAACACUUAUACAACAUAAUUAGAACGUCUCAUGUGCUCAUCAUCUCUCUGGUGUGUUCUUAAACAACACGAAUGCAACUUUAAUUAAAAAUAAGUAGGCCAUGAUUGAUUUAAGAAAUCUUAACAAUGAUAUUUAAUGGGACAAUAAAGGGAUUAGAAAGUGUAAAAGGAGAAAAGAGUGUUAUGUGCUCAUUCAGUUGUACCAUCCCACUAAUGGCAUAUUCACAGAACCAUACCCACGCUGCCUGCCGGAACCCUGAAGGUGAGUGAACAUGAUCUUGGUUUCUCAUUUGAGUAAACUGUUCCCUGUGUUAGAGGAACUACUUUGAACAUGUCUAGCAAUACGCAAAUCAUAAUUUGAAGUAUCAACUACAAUCCAUCCGUCCACCAAAGCACUUGUCCUAUGUAGGGUUCCAGCUUACAAAACACUUUUCUAACAUUUUUUUUUCUAAUUUUUACCACUUAGUUAUAAAAAUGUUAGUAUUUCUGAAUGUUCUCUGAACAAAAAAACGUUUUUGUUUUUUUUUAAUGUUUUAAAAAACAUCUAAGCAUUGUCAAACUAGGUGGUCACCCAAGUCAAGUCACCGUUAUUUAUAUAGCGCUUUAAACAGUACAGAUUGUCAAAGCAACUUUACAGUAUUAAAUAGGAAAAUAGUGUGUCAAUAAUGCAAAAUGACAAUAGUAAACAUUAAAUUUUCAGUUAAAGGCAGUUCAUCAUUGAAUUCAGUGAUGUCAUUUCCAGCUUUGUUCAGUUUAAAUAGUAUCUGUGCAAUAAAGUCAACAAUAUCGCUGGAUAUUAAGUGUCCCCAACUAAGCAAGCCAGAGGCAACAGCGGCUAGGAAACAAAACUCCCAUCAGUGACAGAAUGCUGAAAAAACCUUGGCCGAUACCUAGUUGGGGGGGCAGUUCUCCUCUAGCCAGACGAAACCAGCAGUUCAAUUCCAGGCUGCAGCAAAGUCAGAUUGUGCAGAGGACUCAUCUGGUUCCUGUGGUCUUGUCCCAGUGGCAGUCUAGGAGACAAGGUCUUCACUAGGGAUCUGUCUCUGGGGCUCCUCUAGUUGUCCUGGUCUCCGCUGACAUUCAGGGCUGUAGAGGUCAUCUCAAGGUGCUUAUCCAACAUCUGGGCUGGAUACGUACUGGAUCCGGGUUACUGCAGUGACCAUCUGAUCUGGUUUCGGACUGGAUCUGGUGGCUACGGUGACCUCGGAAUAAGAAUGAAAGAGGCUAAUAUUAGUGUAGAUGCCAUUCUUCCUACGUUGUAACGAGUACAUCGGAUGUUAUGGGAAGUGUUCCCGGUUCCGGCUGACUUAAUUAAUGCAGCAUAACAAUCCUUUAACAGAUUUGAAUUCUAGAAAUGUGAUAGUGUGUUAUGUGUAUGCCAGGUUAAAGAAAUGGGUCUUUAAUCUAGAUUUAAACUGACAGAGUGUAUCUGCCUCCCAAACAUUAGGUAGAUUGUUCCAGAGUUUGGGCGCUAAAUAGGAAAAGGAUCUGCCACCUGCAGUUGAUUUUGAUAUUCUAGGCAGGGGGGUAGCCAUCUUUUCAGAAGUGAGGGGGACAGAAAUUAUAUAUAUAUAUAUAUAUAUAUAUAUAUAUAUAUAUAGUAUACGACUUAUAUAUAAGUCGUAUUCAGACUUAUAAGUAAAGAAGUAAAUCUGAAUAUAUAGUUAUAAAUCUGAAUAUAUAGAAGCAAAUCUGAAUAUGUAGUUAUAAAUCUGAAUAUAUACAUACAACUCUGAAUAUAUAGAAGUAAACCUGAAUAUAUAGAUGUAAAUCUAAAUAUAUAGUUAUAAUUUGGAAUAUAUAAAUAUAAAUCUGAAUAUAUAGUUAUAAAUCUGAGUAUAUAGAAGUGCAACUGAAUAUAUAGUUAUAAGUCUGAAUAUAUAGAAGUGAAUCUGAAUAUAUAAUUAUAAGCCUGAAUAUAUAUAUAUUUAUAGCAAACCUGGUGAUGUGGAUCACAUGAGAGGGGCCCUUGCACACUUGUCCCCCUCACCUCAGAUAACUGAGAGCUUUUGAAAGGUACGCGUCCACCAACCAUGACAAGAGGAGCCACUAAUCUGCCCCUCACAGCCCAGACUGCUCUUAUUGCCCAUAAUAAAUUUAUAUCUAUCGCCUUCCACCCUUCUUCCACAUGUCCGGAUGUGUUCAAUAAAUUGUGAAAUGAAAUUCGUGUCCACUCUGUGCCUUAUUAUCCCACCACUUAUCAAGGAAACACAGAGAGCUGGAACAGGACUCAAGGGGGAUUUUUCAUGCCUCUGUUCCACCUACACAAUCCAGAAUGGUUAGGAAGGAAAGGAGAGGAAGAAUGUGAUUCAGAAAUUAUUGGCUUUACUCAAAAUAUACUAAAUCUAGGUAUUUAAUGCCACAUAUUUUAUAUUUUCCUCACACACACACACACACACACACACACACACGUUUGUUUUUGUGAAAAGUGGGGACAUCCCAUAGGCGUAAUGGUUUUUAUACUGUACGAACUGUAUAUUCUAUCGCCCUACACCUAACCCUACCCCUUACAGGAAACUUUGUGCAUUUUUACUUUCUCAAAAAAACUAAUACUGUGUGGUUUAUAAGCGUUUUGAAAAAUGGGGACAUGGGUUAUGUCCUCAUAAGUCACCCUCUCCUUGUAAUACCUGUGUCAUACCCAUGUCAUUAUACAAAGUUGUGUCCUGAUAUGUCACAAAAACAAAACACACACACACACACACACACACACACACACACACACACACACACACACACACAUAUAUAUUCUCUCUCUUUAUUAAUAGUUGUUUCAUUGUUGUGGUAUUUUUCUAUCAAAAUUCCUUUUAUAGUGCAAAUUUCAGUUCCCUUUCAGUCGGUCACUCUUGACGCCACGUCGGUGAACGGCGAAAAUGGGAUAUCGCUUCGAUAGACCAAUCUACUUUGAGUGUAAACUAAACGAGCCAAUGCACAUUGGCAUGCAAUUAUUGCAUCCAGCUGCCGCUGAUCACAGCGUGAGUAUAAUAAGGCAGCAGGUGCAAUGCAUACCAGCUUUUCGCUUCGGAGCCGAGAGUUAGUAUCGUUCUGCUCAACUGUGUCUGCUGUGACCUACGAGUUCAGCACGCUCUCGGAAGCUUCGUGUGUUGGCGAGAUGGCGCUUCAGCGGUGGUCGUUCCAGCGUUGAGUGGAUUGCACACUUCAGGCUGCACUACCCCCUGUCGUGUUGCAAGCGGCCAAUUCCCCUGUGCGCCUCAGCACUAAAAGAGCAUUUCCUAAAGAGCAAAUUUCUCUAAAAGAGCUUCAUGGGUGCGUCUUUGUAAAGAC